GUGAGGUCAAGCAAAUCCCAUAAAGUUGUUCUCAGUUCGGAUUGUAGUCUGCAACUCGACUACAUGAAGCUGGAAUCGCUAGUAAUCGUAGAUCAGCAUGCUACGGUGAAUACGUUCCCGGGUCUUGUACACACCGCCCGUCACACCACGAGAGUUUGUAACACCCGAAGCCGGUGGAGUAACCUUUUAGGAGCUAGCCGUCGAAGGUGGGACAAAUGAUUGGGGUGAAGUCGUAACAAGGUAGCCGUAUCGGAAGGUGCGGCUGGAUCACCUCCUUU
This 278-nucleotide ribosomal RNA is filed under the name Staphylococcus aureus. RNAcentral describes it as "partial 16S ribosomal RNA". It matches the Rfam family "Bacterial small subunit ribosomal RNA", at positions 1257 to 1533 of the family's 1533-position model. The record is from RNAcentral. Lineage: Bacteria; Bacillati; Bacillota; Bacilli; Caryophanales; Staphylococcaceae.